Molecule: ribosomal RNA, 788 nt
Filed under: uncultured Desulfobacterales bacterium
Lineage: Bacteria; Pseudomonadati; Thermodesulfobacteriota; Desulfobacteria; Desulfobacterales
Description: bacterial SSU rRNA
Rfam family: Bacterial small subunit ribosomal RNA
Source: RNAcentral
GGGAUAGCCCCGGGAAACCGGGGGUAAUACCGCAUAAGUUCCGUAUGACAUAAGUCACUCGGUGGAAAGGCGGGGAUCUUCGGACCUGUCGCCUCUAGAUGAGCCCGCGUCCGAUUAGCUAGUUGGUGAGGUAAUGGCUCACCAAGGCUUCGAUCGGUAGCCGGCCUGAGAGGGUGAACGGCCACAUUGGGACUGAGACACGGCCCAGACUCCUACGGGAGGCAGCAGUGGGGAAUUUUGGGCAAUGGGGGAAACCCUGACCCAGCGACGCCGCGUGGAGGAUGAAGGCCUUCGGGUUGUAAACUCCUGUCAGGUGGGAAGAAGAGCUUCGUGGAUAAUACCCACGAGGAAUUGACGGUACCACCAAAGGAAGCCCCGGCUAACUCCGUGCCAGCAGCCGCGGUAAUACGGGGGGCGCAAGCGUUAUUNGGAAUUAUUGGGCGUAAAGGGCGCGCAGGCGGUCUUGUCCGUCAGGUGUGAAAGCUCGGGGCUCAACCCCGGAAGUGCACUUGAAACAGCAAGACUUGAAUACGGGAGAGGAGAGAGGAAUUCCUGGUGUAGAGGUGAAAUUNGUAGAUAUCAGGAGGAACACCGAUGGCGAAGGCAUCUCUCUGGACCGAUAUUGACGCUGAGGCGCGAAGGCGUGGGUAGCGAACGGGAUUAGAUACCCCGGUAGUCCACGCAGUAAACGUUGUACACUCGGUGUGGCGGAUAUUAAAAUCUGCUGUGCCCAAGCUAACGCAUUAAGUGUACCGCCUGGGAAGUACGGUCGCAAGACUAAAACUCAA